This 2764-nucleotide long non-coding RNA is filed under the name Homo sapiens (human). RNAcentral's name for it is "HSALNT0248849". Lineage: Eukaryota; Metazoa; Chordata; Mammalia; Primates; Hominidae. The record is from RNAcentral.
CGAACUCCUGACCUCAGGUGAUCCACCCGCCUCGGCCUCUGAAAGAUCUGGGAUUACAGGCAUGAGCCACCACACCCGUCAUUUUGAAAUUCUAUUCCCGUGUUUGUUCCUGUCUCUGCCACUAGAAAGUAAGUUCCAGGAGGGCUCAUCUCAUUCGUGGUUAUAUCCUCAGAUCCUAAAACAGAGCCUGGCACUCAGUAGGUCUCAAUAUCUUUUGAAUGAAUGAAUGACGUGCUUUGAGCCAAUGGCUAAGGGCUGUGGGUCUUGCCCUGCAAUGGGGUCUGAACAAGUCAUGGACCGUCUGGGAUCUUCCUCCGAAGACAGCGUCUGGGCUGAGGUCAGCUGCAGUGAAGAACAGUGCUCCUAGAAUAAGAGUCUAGACAGGGGAGGGGCUCAGAGAGCCCAGACUGGAUCUGCCUGAGAAGAACAGAGUUCAAGGGUCUCAGAGGACAGCCCACUUAUGCUAGCAUCUUGCAGAAAGGGCAGGACGGUGGGCCUCAGCUCUAUUUUCUAUUGUUGCAUAACACGCUGUCCCAAAACUUAGUGGCUUAAAAUGAUUUUACCAUAUCUCAUGCUUUUGUGGCAGGAAUUCAUUCAGGGACUGCUGGGCAGGGUGAUUCUUCUGCCCCAUGUGGCACUGACUGAGGUCACCUGAUGGCACUCGGCUGGCAGAUGGGCUGGUCUGGAGGACCUGGAUAGCCUCCUUCGUGAGUUGAGUGGUUUGGCAAGCCAGCUGCAAGGCUGGGCUCAGUGGGGCCUGUCUCCUGGAGCACCCAUGCCUGGCCUCUCCUGCACAACAGCUCAGGGCUCCUGAGGCUGUCAGAAGACCAAGGCAGACACUGCAAGGCUGCUUUGACCUGGCCUUGGGAGUCACAUAGCACCAUUUCCAUCACACCUUAUUGGCUACAGACCCAGUGAAAAGAAUGGUGUCCUCUCCUGACAUUGUCUCUCAGGGUCUGGAAGCUUUUCCUUCAAUCUUCGAGCUCCUCACCUAUCUGAACAUGCCAUUGCCUGCAACCAAGCUUGAGAACCAACAAACAGUGGCUGCGGGUUCUGGAAACACGCAGAGUGAUAGUUCAGAGUAAUGUUGAUAGUACAUUUUAUUUAGCCCAAUAUAUAAAAAAUAUUAUUUCAACAUGUAAUCAAUAGAAAAAUGAUGUGAUAUUUUACAUUCUUUUUAAAAAAUAUUAAGUCUUUGAAACCAGUGUGUUCUUACACUUACAGCCCAUCUGAAUUUGGCCCAACCACACUCCAGUGCUCCAAAGCCAUAGAUGGCCAGGGGCAUCCACACUGGACAGCACAGGGCUAGAGGCACUGGGUGGGCCCUUCUCUAUUUCAAGCUCAGUGGUCUGGAUGUGGGCAGAAAGAGGAGUCUGGAUCUGGGUUAAAGCUACAAGAACUCCCUCCCCAGGGUUAACACCAAUAUUUUCUGUAACACUCCCCUGCCGGUAUUGAAGAGAACAGAAAGAAGGGCAAAGGAAAGAAAAUAAACAAUUUAUUUUUCUUUUAUUGUUAUUUUUAGAGACAGAGUUUGGCUCUGUUGCCCAGGCUGGAGUGCAGUGGCACAGUCAUGGCUCAUUGCAACCUUGACCCCUGAGCUCAAGCAAUCCUUCUGCCUCAGCCUCCUGAGUAGCUGGGACUUACAGGCGUGAGCCACCAUGCCUGGCUAAUUUUUAUUUUUUAUUUUUGUAGCGAUGGAGGUUCACUGUGUUGCCCAGACUGGUCUCAAACUCCUGGGUUCAAUCAAUCCUCCCACCUCAGCCUCCUAAAGUGCUGGGAUUACAGGCUUGAGCCACCGUGACUGGCCCUUAUUUUUCUUUAUAUCCACAGCAUAUUAGUAAUAAUACACCAUUGUACACAACCUUGCCUCUCCUAAUAGAAAGCACGUUCUUUCUUUAUAGAAAUAAAAGAAAAAAACCCAAAUCCCAAGGCUCUGACUGAGGUCCAGCAAGGAUUAAGGUCAUCAGGUACCAAACAGGAUCCAAGGGUAAAUAAAGGGAGAGUGUGGGCUUACCUGGAGACUCCCUAAGCAGAAAAUGAGAGCUUGGGGCUACAGUGAGGGGGCCACUCCACUGUUCAGGUCUGUGGGCUCAUCCUUCAUUCAGCGCUGAGCACGUGAAUUUGGGCAUAGAAGAUGGUGGUUAAAGCUUGAAUAAAAAGGCCCAAGAACCAAUAGAAACUGACGGAAACUGAUAGCAUACUGACAAAACACCUUAUCCUCUGCCUCUUGCUGGUGUCAAUGUAAGAAAAGAUCUGAGAUUUUAAGAACAACAGGCAGGGGGCAACAUACAGAGACCAGGAAAAGACAAGGACAUGAAUUUAAGGUACUCAAGUUCCAAAUACACGAAUCCAUUGCUAGUUGUUUCUUUUUCUCUCUUUUCUCAACAAGUUGGGGAACACAUGCAGAGGCAACAACAGCCACCGACUGAGUUGACUAUAUUCUCCAUGGGGCUGAGUAUGGACAAGGCGUAUUUCCCGGACGCCAUGGGCAGGGGGUCUCCAUCAAUGACGUGGAUAUUCAACACUACAGGGCCUGGCUCCCUGCUUGCGGAGGACUCAUGGGUCACCCUGAAUGGCCCAAACUCUCUGAUACCUGGCAGAGUGGUAAGGUAUUUGAAACAUCUAUUAGGAACAGAAAUAUUUAUAGUUAGUCAUUAUUUUCUUAAACCUUCUUGGUGGGUUCAGAAACAAGUGACCAUUUUGUGUAAAUUCAUUUAUUUUGGAGCAAUGAGAACACAUGGACAUAGGGAGGGGAACAUCACAC